RNAcentral lists this long non-coding RNA (221 nucleotides) under Lathyrus oleraceus (garden pea). RNAcentral's name for it is "Pisum sativum (pea) long non-coding RNA (PSAT_LNC026436)". The record is from RNAcentral. Lineage: Eukaryota; Viridiplantae; Streptophyta; Magnoliopsida; Fabales; Fabaceae.
CCUUGUGCAUGUGUGUAUUACUAGUAGCUAUAGCUAGUAAUUGUGUUUGCUUCUGCAGCUGUUUAAACUGUUGUUUAACUGUUGAUAGUUUUCUUGUGAAUAAAAAGGAUAGAUAUAUGUUUUAGCCAAAAUUUGCCAAAGGGGGAGUUUGUUGGUUCUAAGUGUUGGCAACAAUUUUGGUUAAACAAAGAGUGUUCACAAGAUAUUGUGUGUGAUGUCUU